RNAcentral lists this transfer RNA (70 nucleotides) under Ictidomys tridecemlineatus (thirteen-lined ground squirrel). Its description in RNAcentral is "Spermophilus tridecemlineatus (thirteen-lined ground squirrel) tRNA". The stretch from base 6 to 66 matches the Rfam family "tRNA", at positions 6 to 65 of the family's 71-position model. Rfam says of the family: Transfer RNA (tRNA) molecules are approximately 80 nucleotides in length. Lineage: Eukaryota; Metazoa; Chordata; Mammalia; Rodentia; Sciuridae. The record is from Rfam by way of RNAcentral. RNAcentral also lists the same sequence under 1 other name.
UGGGAUAUAGCUCAGUGGUAGAGAACUUGCCUAGUAUGCAUUAGGUCCUGAGUUCAAUUCCCAGUACCAU